CCUCCAAAAUUUUACUCCCCCUAUUUAUUUACUUUCCCUCAAACUUUUAAUCCCCAAAACUUUUUAUUUUCCCCCUAAACUUUUACUUCUUACCCUUUACUCUCAAAUAAAAAAUCAAAAUUAUCCAAAAAAAUCACUAAACAUAAAUAGUAAUAAUUUUUUUAUAUCUACUAUUUAUAUUAUUAAAUUAAAUUUCACAUUUUAUAUUAUUUAUAUUAUUGAAUUGUUU
This 229-nucleotide long non-coding RNA is filed under the name Gossypium barbadense (sea-island cotton). RNAcentral's name for it is "long non-coding RNA (GBAR_LNC011502)". Lineage: Eukaryota; Viridiplantae; Streptophyta; Magnoliopsida; Malvales; Malvaceae. The record is from RNAcentral.